GAUGAACGCUAGCGGCAGGCCUAACACAUGCAAGUCGAGGGGGAAGUUACUUUCGGGUGACUGAGACCGGCGUACGGGUGCGUAACGCGUAUACAAUCUGCCUUUCACUGGGGGAUAGCCCGAAGAAAUUUGGAUUAAUACCCCAUAGUAUAUAGGGACGGCAUCGUUUUUAUAUUAAAGCUUAGGUGGUGAAAGAUGAGUAUGCGUUCUAUUAGCUAGUUGGAGAGGUAACGGCUCCCCAAGGCGAUGAUAGAUAGGGGUUCUGAGAGGGAUGUCCCCCACACUGGUACUGAGAUACGGACCAGACUCCUACGGGAGGCAGCAGUGAGGAAUAUUGGACAAUGGUCGGAAGACUGAUCCAGCCAUGCCGCGUGCAGGAUGAAGGUCUUAUGGAUUGUAAACUGCUUUUGUAAGGGAAGAAUAAGGGCUACGCGUAGUUUGAUGACGGUACCUUACGAAUAAGCAUCGGCUAGCUCCGUG
RNAcentral lists this ribosomal RNA (480 nucleotides) under uncultured bacterium. RNAcentral describes it as "partial 16S ribosomal RNA". It matches the Rfam family "Bacterial small subunit ribosomal RNA", at positions 28 to 507 of the family's 1533-position model. The record is from RNAcentral.